GAUGAACGCUGGCGGCGUGCCUAAUACAUGCCAGUCGAGCGAACAGAUGAGGAGCUUGCUCCUCUGACGUUAGCGGCGGACGGGUGAGUAACACGUGGAUAACCUACCUAUAAGACUGGGAUAACUUCGGGAAACCGGAGCUAAUACCGGAUAAUAUAUUGAACCGCAUGGUUCAAUAGUGAAAGACGGUUUUGCUGUCACUUAUAGAUGGAUCCGCGCCGCAUUAGCUAGUUGGUAAGGUAACGGCUUACCAAGGCAACGAUGCGUAGCUGACCUGAGAGGGUGAUCGGCCACACUGGAACUGAGACACGGUCCAGACUCCUACGGGAGGCAGCAGUAGGGAAUCUUCCGCAAUGGGCGAAAGCCUGACGGAGCAACGCCGCGUGAGUGAUGAAGGUCUUCGGAUCGUAAAACUCUGUUAUUAGGGAAGAACAAAUGUGUAAGUAACUAUGCACGUCUUGACGGUACCUAAUCAGAAAGCCACGGCUAACUACGUG
This 497-nucleotide ribosomal RNA is filed under the name uncultured bacterium. RNAcentral describes it as "partial 16S ribosomal RNA". It matches the Rfam family "Bacterial small subunit ribosomal RNA", at positions 28 to 507 of the family's 1533-position model. The record is from RNAcentral.